Molecule: transfer RNA, 74 nt
Filed under: Triticum aestivum (bread wheat)
Lineage: Eukaryota; Viridiplantae; Streptophyta; Magnoliopsida; Poales; Poaceae
Also listed under: 1 other name
Rfam family: tRNA
About the family: Transfer RNA (tRNA) molecules are approximately 80 nucleotides in length. Their secondary structure includes four short double-helical elements and three loops (D, anti-codon, and T loops).
Source: Rfam by way of RNAcentral
AGCGGGGUAGAGGAAUUGGUCAACUCAUCAGGCUCAUGACCUGAAGACUGCAGGUUCGAAUCCUGUCACUGUGG